GACAGAGGGUGCAACCGUUGUUCGGAAUUACUGGGCGUAAAGCGCGUGUAGGCUGCUCUGCAAGUCGGGUGUGAAAGCCCCGGGCUCAACCUGGGAAGUGCACUCGAAACUGCAGAGCUCGAGUCCUGGAGAGGAAGGCGGAAUUCUCGGUGUAGAGGUGAAAUUCGUAGAUAUCGAGAGGAACACCGGUGGCGAAGGCGGCCUUCUGGACAGUGACUGACGCUGAGACGCGAAAGCGUGGGGAGCAAACAGG
This 253-nucleotide ribosomal RNA is filed under the name uncultured bacterium. RNAcentral's name for it is "partial 16S ribosomal RNA". It matches the Rfam family "Bacterial small subunit ribosomal RNA", at positions 524 to 776 of the family's 1533-position model. The record is from RNAcentral.